This 34-nucleotide ribosomal RNA is filed under the name Vorticella sp. 11 PS-2013. RNAcentral's name for it is "partial 28S ribosomal RNA". Lineage: Eukaryota; Ciliophora; Oligohymenophorea; Sessilida; Vorticellidae. The record is from RNAcentral.
ACCUGAAAUAAGCAAGAUUACCCGCUGAACUUAA